This 914-nucleotide ribosomal RNA is filed under the name uncultured marine archaeon. RNAcentral describes it as "bacterial SSU rRNA". It matches the Rfam family "Archaeal small subunit ribosomal RNA", at positions 1 to 921 of the family's 1478-position model. The record is from RNAcentral.
UUCCGGUUGAUCCCGCCGGAGGCUACCGCUAUUGGAGUUCGAUUAAGCCAUGCGAGUCGCGAGUCUUAGGGACUCGGCGUACCGCUCAGUAACACGUGGGUAACCUGCCCUAUGCUGGGGGAUAACCUCGGGAAACUGAGAAUAAUACCCCAUAGUUCACCACGCCUGGAACGGUGGGUGGAUGAAAGCUCCGGCGGCAUAGGAUGGGCCUGCGGCGUAUCAGGUUGUAGGGGGUGUAAUGUACCCUCUAGCCAUCUACGCGUACGGGUGUUGGGAGACAUCGCCCGGAGAUGGAUUCUGAGACACGAAUCCAGACCCUACGGGGUGCAGCAGGCGCGAAAACUUGGCAAUGCGAGCAAUCGUGACCAGGGAACUCCAAGUGCAUCGGGUAAGACCGAUGCUUUUCUUGACUCUUCAAAGGUCUUGGAAUAAGGGGUGGGUAAGGACGGUGCCAGCCGCCGCGGUAAUACCGGCGCCUCAAGUGGUAGUCGCUUUUAUUGGGCCUAAAACGUCCGUAGCCGGUUUGGUACAUUCGUGGGUAAAUCAAGGCGCUCAACGUCUUGAAUUCUGCGAGCACGGCCAGACUUGGGACCGGGAGAGGUGUGGGGUACUCUCAGGGUAGGGGUAAAAUCCUGUCAUCCUGAGAGGACCACCUGUUGCGAAGGCGCCACACUAGAACGGAUCCGACGGUCAGGGACGAAACCUAGGGGCACGAACCGGAUUAGAUACCCGGGUAGUCCUAGGUGUAAACGCUGUGGACUUGAUGUUGGGAGUGCUCCGAGCACCCUCAGUGUCGAAGCGAAGGUGAUAAGUCCACUGCCUGGGGAGUACGGUCGCAAGGCUGAAACUUAAAGGAAUUGGCGGGGGAGCACUGCAACCUGAGGAUUGUGCGGUUUAAUUGGAUUCAACGCCGG